GCAUAUCAAUAAGCGGAGGAAAAGAAAAUAACAAUGAUUUCCCUAGUAACGGCGAGUGAAGAGGAAAGAGCUCAAAGUUGGAAACUGUUUGGCUUAGCUAAACCGUAUUGUAAACUGUAGAAACAUUUUCCUGGCACACCAGAUUAAUAAGUCCUUUGGAACAAGGCAUCAUGGAGGGUGAGAAUCCCGUCUUUGAUCUGAGUAGUUGUCUUUUGUGAUAUGUUUUCAAAGAGUCAGGUUGUUUGGGAAUGCAGCCUAAAUUGGGUGGUAAAUCUCACCUAAAGCUAAAUAUUUGCGAGAGACCGAUAGCGAACAAGUACCGUGAGGGAAAGAUGAAAAGAACUUUGAAAAGAGAGUUAAACAGUAUGUGAAAUUGUUAAAAGGGAACCGUUUGGAGCCAGACUGGUUUGCUUGUAAUCAACCUAGAAUUCGUUUUGGGUGCACUUGCAGGCUAUACCUGCCAACAACAGUUUGAUUUGGAGGAAAAAAUUAAUAGGAAUGUAGCCUCUCGAGGUGUUAUAGCCUAUUAUCAUACUCUGGAUUGGACUGAGGAACGCAGCGAAUGCCUUUAGGCAAGAUUGCUGGGUGCUUUCGCUAAUAAAUGUUAGAAUUUCUGCUUCGGGUGGUGCUAAUGUUUAAAGGAGGAACACAUCUAGUAUAUUUUUUAUUCGCUUAGGUUGUUGGCUUAAUGACUCUAAAUGACCCGUCUUGAAACACGGACCAAGGAGUCCACCAUAAGUGCAAGUAUUUGAGUGACAAACUCAUAUGCGUAAGGAAACUGAUUGAUACGAAGUCUUUUGAUGGCAGUAUCACCCGGCGUCGACGUUUUAACUGAAAUGACCGAGGUAAAGCACUUAUGAUGGGACCCGAAAGAUGGUGAACUAUGCCUUGAAUAGGGUGAAGCCAGAGGAAACUCUGGUGGAGGCUCGUAGCGAUUUCUGACGUGCAAAUCGAUCGUCAAAUUUGGGUAUAGGGGCGAAAGAACUAAUCGAACCUUCUAGUAGCUGGUUCCUGCCAAA
Molecule: ribosomal RNA, 1019 nt
Filed under: Mucor lusitanicus
Lineage: Eukaryota; Fungi; Mucoromycota; Mucoromycetes; Mucorales; Mucoraceae
Description: LSU rRNA
Rfam family: Eukaryotic large subunit ribosomal RNA
Source: RNAcentral